GUUUGUCUCAGCAGCUUUGUGAAUAGGUUUUAAGAGAAAACUCUUAGCUAAAAACAUUUACUGCUUUUUAGGAGAACUCUAAGUGGUAAGAAAAUAUUUUGUGAAUACGGGCCCAAGUCUGUUGUGUUGUGGUGUUGUUUC
Sinocyclocheilus grahami is the source of this 141-nucleotide long non-coding RNA. RefSeq lists it as uncharacterized. The record is from RefSeq and is a predicted model, not a curated record. NCBI's taxonomy places the organism in Eukaryota, Metazoa, Chordata, Actinopteri, Cypriniformes, Cyprinidae. The transcript has 3 exons.